This is a non-coding RNA of Deltaproteobacteria bacterium, 87 nucleotides long. The record is from Rfam. Lineage: Bacteria; Pseudomonadati; Myxococcota; Myxococcia.
GGAGGGGUGCGUGAGCGGUUGAAACGGAUGGUCUUGAAAACCAUUGAACCCUUACGGGUUCCGUGAGUUCGAAUCUCACCCCCUCCG